This 75-nucleotide non-coding RNA is filed under the name Xenorhabdus ehlersii. Lineage: Bacteria; Pseudomonadati; Pseudomonadota; Gammaproteobacteria; Enterobacterales; Morganellaceae. The record is from RNAcentral.
UUGAACCGAAUGGAGAAACUCGCAUAUACGGUUCUUAGGAGAGUAGGGGCCGUUACCGGUCACUACUUAUCCGAU